This 253-nucleotide ribosomal RNA is filed under the name uncultured bacterium. Its description in RNAcentral is "partial 16S ribosomal RNA". It matches the Rfam family "Bacterial small subunit ribosomal RNA", at positions 524 to 776 of the family's 1533-position model. The record is from RNAcentral.
UACGGAGGAUGCAAGCGUUAUCCGGAAUGAUUGGGCGUAAAGCGUCCGCAGGUGGCUGUGUAAGUCUGCUGUUAAAGAGUCUAGCUCAACUAGAUACAAGCAGUGGAAACUACACGGCUAGAGUACGUUCGGGGCAGAGGGAAUUCCUGGUGUAGCGGUGAAAUGCGUAGAGAUCAGGAAGAACACCGGUGGCGAAGGCGCUCUGCUAGGCCGUAACUGACACUGAGGGACGAAAGCUAGGGGAGCAAACAGG